AUUGAACGCUGGCGGCAGGCCUAACACAUGCAAGUCGAACGAGUGGCGGACGGGUGAGUAAUGUCUGGGAAACUGCCUGAUGGAGGGGGAUAACUACUGGAAACGGUAGCUAAUACCGCAUACCAUCAGAUGUGCCCAGAUGGGAUUAGCUUGUUGGUGGGGUAACGGCUCACCAAGGCGACGAUCCCUAGCUGGUCUGAGAGGAUGACCAGGCAAACUGGAAACGAGGAACGGGCCAGAAUCCUACGGGAGGCAGGAGUGGGGAAUAUUGGACAAAGGGCGGAAGGCUGAUGGAGCCAUGGCGCGGGGAAGGAGAAGGCCUUCGGGUUGUAAAGGACUUUCAGCGGGGAAGACUUACCCGCAGAAGAAGCACCGGCUAACUCCGUGCCAGCAGCCGCGGUAAUAC
RNAcentral lists this ribosomal RNA (406 nucleotides) under uncultured bacterium. Its description in RNAcentral is "partial 16S ribosomal RNA". It matches the Rfam family "Bacterial small subunit ribosomal RNA", at positions 29 to 526 of the family's 1533-position model. The record is from RNAcentral.